RNAcentral lists this ribosomal RNA (253 nucleotides) under uncultured bacterium. Its description in RNAcentral is "partial 16S ribosomal RNA". It matches the Rfam family "Bacterial small subunit ribosomal RNA", at positions 524 to 776 of the family's 1533-position model. The record is from RNAcentral.
UACGAGGGGGGCAAGCGUUGUUCGGAAUUACUGGGCGUAAAGGGCUUGUAGGUGGCCAACUAAGUCAGACGUGAAAUCCCUCGGCUUAACCGGGGAACUGCGUCUGAUACUGGAUGGCUUGAGUGUGGGAGAGGGAUGCGGAAUUCCAGGUGUAGCGGUGAAAUGCGUAGAUAUCUGGAGGAACACCGGUGGCGAAGGCGGCAUCCUGGACCAUUACUGACACUGAUAAGCGAAAGCCAGGGGAGCAAACGGG